Molecule: ribosomal RNA, 109 nt
Filed under: Staphylococcus aureus
Lineage: Bacteria; Bacillati; Bacillota; Bacilli; Caryophanales; Staphylococcaceae
Description: partial 16S rRNA
Rfam family: Bacterial small subunit ribosomal RNA
Source: RNAcentral
CGGUGGAGUAACCUUUUAGGCGCUAGCCGUCGAAGGUGGGACAAAUGAUUGGGGUGAAGUCGUAACAAGGUAGCCGUAUCGGAAGGUGCGGCUGGAUCACCUCCUUUCU